This is a long non-coding RNA of Homo sapiens (human), 789 nucleotides long. The record is from Ensembl. Lineage: Eukaryota; Metazoa; Chordata; Mammalia; Primates; Hominidae.
UGGCCUGCAUCCACUGUCUGGCACUCCCUAGUGAGAUGAACCCGGUACCUCAGAUGGAAAUGCAGAAAUCACCCGUCUUCUGCGUCGCUCACGCUGGGAGCUGUAGACCGGAGCUGUUCCUAUUCGGCCAUCUUGGGUCUGGAUUCGGCAUUACAUGUCUUAACGGAAAAAUCAACUCAAGAUGGAUUAAGGACUUAAACCUAAGACUUGAAACUAUAAAAAUUCUAGAAGAUAACAUUGGAAAAACCCUUCUAGACAUUGACUUAGAUAAGUAUUUCAUGACCAAGAACCCAAAAGCAAAUGCAAUAAAAACAAAGAUAAAUAACUAGGACCUAACUGAACUAAGAGCUUUUGUGCAGCAAAAAGAACAGUCAGCAGAGUAAACAGACAACCUACAGAGUGGGAGAAAAUCUUCACAAUCUAUACAUCUGACAAAGGACUAAUAUUCAGAAUCCACAACAAACACAAAUCAGUGAAAAAAUCCUAUCAAAAAGUGGGCUAAGGACAUAAAUAGACAAUUCUCAAAAGAAGAUAUACAAACGUCCAAUAAACAUGCAAAAAAUGCUCAACAUCACUAAUGAUCAGGGAAAUGCAAAUCAAAACCACAAUGUGAUAUCACUUUGCUCCUGCAAGAAUGGCCAUAAUCAAAAAAUUGAAAAACAGUAGAUGUUGGCGUGGGUGUGGUGAUAAGGGAACACUUCUACACUGCUGGUGGGAAUGUAAACUAGUACAGCCACUGUGGAAAAUGGUGUGGAGAUUCCUUAAAGAAUGAAAAGUAGAACUACCAUU